UACGUAGGGGGCUAGCGUUGUCCGGAAUCAUUGGGCGUAAAGCGCGUGUAGGCGGCCCGGUAAGUCCGCUGUGAAAGUCGGGGGCUCAACCCUCGAAUGCCGGUGGAUACUGUCGGGCUAGAGUGCGGAAGAGGAGAGUGGAAUUCCUGGUGUAGCGGUGAAAUGCGCAGAUAUCAGGAAGAACACCCGUGGCGAAGGCGGCUCUCUGGGACGGUACUGACGCUGAGACGCGAAAGCGUGGGGAGCGAACAGG
RNAcentral lists this ribosomal RNA (253 nucleotides) under uncultured bacterium. Its description in RNAcentral is "partial 16S ribosomal RNA". It matches the Rfam family "Bacterial small subunit ribosomal RNA", at positions 524 to 776 of the family's 1533-position model. The record is from RNAcentral.